Molecule: ribosomal RNA, 254 nt
Filed under: uncultured bacterium
Lineage: Bacteria
Description: partial 16S ribosomal RNA
Rfam family: Bacterial small subunit ribosomal RNA
Source: RNAcentral
UACGUAGGGGGCAAGCGUUGUCCGGAAUCAUUGGGCGUAAAGAGCGCGUAGGCGGCCCUGUAAGUCGGAUGUGAAAUCUCCAGGCUCAACCUGGAGGGGUCAUUCGAUACUGCCGUGACUAGAGGUCGGUAGGGGAGUGUGGAAUUCCUGGUGGAGCGGUGAAAUGCGCAGAUAUCAGGAAGAACACCCGUGGCGAAAGCGGCUCUCUGGGACGGUACUGACGCUGAGACGCGAAAGCGUGGGGAGCGAACAGG